AAGCAGAGGAAGGACGGGCGGCAAAUUCAAUAUACACACCCGCUCUGCUGUGCCGGCACACAGCCGCUGCUCCACGAGCGUUGUAUCAGCUCCCUCUCUUUUAGCUUUGCCGUUCCUCAGCGCUUCGGAUGGAGGCGCCUGCCGAGGUGGACCCGAUGGUGGCACUGGUGGCGUCGUGGGACACCUACCUUGUCCCUUCUGCCCAACUAGCCUGCUCACCGAAGGCGUCUGCGCAAGCUCGCGCCGGCGUCGGUCAAAGCACGUGCGCCUUCACUUCUGAGGCAUCACCGUUUCGCUAUCACCUCACUGAUGCAUGCCCCAUCUUCACUGCCAGCGAGCAAGACAGCAGUGACCAAGUCAGUCCAACGACCUCAGGACCGGACAGCGCGGGCGGCACACCCGCCGAUGUGCCCGCUACGCUGUCAUCCUCGUCGCUCUUGUGGCUGCUCACACUUGUGAGUCGGAACGUGGAGCUUCUGCGCGCCGCGGCUCACCUCUUUCUGCAGUUCAAUGCGCAAUUUGCCGCGCUCGUAGAGUCAAACGCGGUGAUGGUGAACGCGCUCCGCGCACGCCACCAGCACCAGCUAGACUCCUUGCUUGAGGUGACGGACAAUCAUGCAGCGACGGAUAUGAUUGUGGACUCUGCCGUCACAGAGCGAGUGGUUCUUCAGCAGCAGCAGGAGCUGGAUGCUGCUGAGCGCCGCUGUGCAGAGGCGGAGCAGCGACUGGAGGCGGAGCUGCAAGAGACGUUUUGGCGGUUUCUCACAACUUCGGCUCCGGAUGCCGUCGCGGCUGCCAAUCGCAAACAGCAGUCGCUUGGCUGGGCAAACGGAGGCGACGGCGCAGGUGCCGGCGGCAGCCCCUAUCGUGCCGAGGUCGACGUCAGUCGAUUCGCCGAGGUGCGCAAAGUCGCUUCCUCGAACCCGCGCCGUUGCAACACCGCCGUCGCUCCGUUCUCGCCCGUCCGUCUGGUGCCCGUGCGCACCAUCAAGCUGAGUAAUGAAGUCAGCGAUGCGUCCGCGGCUGCCGCGGCGUCUUGGACGCGGUCCCCAUCGAAACGAUCGCAGGAUUCAGCCCUUCAACCCAUCAUUCUGGAUAUCUCACCCGUCUCGGCACUGUCGCGCUGUCUCGGGUGCUGCAGCGGCACUCAGCUUGGCGCCAUCGCAUCGUCUGUUUCGAGCGCGGCAGAGGAGCACCUUCUCCGCCUCGCACACACCCGCCACUCUGUGCUGCUCUUCAUCGGCUCCGAGUCCGCCGCGAUGGAUGUGAUGCAGAGCUGCAAGGCGCCGGAGCUGCUGCUGGGAGCUGGGCACAGCUGCCGUGACCGCUUUCAACCCUUGGCAAACCACCCUGUUCUACGGGUUCUGUUCACGACUCGACUGUGGGGUGCCAACGUCGUUCUCUUGUGGAACCCCGCGCAGGACGCUACACUGGCUGCGGCCGCGCAGGCGGUGGUGGAGGACGCGCUGGAGCUGGCGUACGCGUGGGAUGCGGACAUGUUCUCCGUAGCGGUUUUGGAAGGCGCGCGACUGCCGAGCUACGUGGGGGCCGGCGGCCUCUCCGCUCUGGCGACGGGGGCCUCGUCGACGUCGGCGGCGUUUUUCGCGUCUCAGGCGGUUUCGAUGGAGGUCCUGCGUCAGCUGCGCAACGGUGUGACGCGAGAGCUUCUUGACACGGCUGGCACGCGCCGUGCCCGUCGGUGGCAAGGCACGGCGACAUGGAUGCAACAAGGGAUUGGUAGCACAGCUGCUGCCACGGCUGGCACUCACAUGUGCCCUCGCGCGGUGGGAGUACUCUACGCCAGCCAAUCAGCCCAGCAAGAGCAGGAGAAACAGUUGCAGCAUCAGGAGGUGUCGUGCGCCGCCUCAUCUGUUCGGCCGAACGCGGCCUCCCCGCUUCGCGGUGACAACUCCAUCGUGUCUGUCACGUCAUCGUCUUUCUUGUUCUCGCCAACUUCCCCUGCGGGCGCAUUCCGCGGCCCGUGCAUCACCUUCAAUACGCCACUGGCGAUUCGUGCCUUUCUUCCGCUGGCAGAAGAGUACUUUAUCCCGGAACAGCCGAGCUUGGUGAGGGGGUCCAGUCGCGGCGGGGGCGAUUUGCACCGCGGCGUCUCUGAAGUAGCUUCCUCGACCACCCUUUACCAAGAGGGAGGCGGUGUGCGUGGUCUGCUGCGCCGGCCAGCCUCGGCGACGGCCACGGAAGACGACGACGCCUCCUUCAGCAGCGAGAAAGAUGCGCGCUUCUCGCCAGCGAGCUUGAGUGCUACCUCCGCACCCGCUUCAUCUCCUGCUAUCGAUGCAAUGAGACCCAGCGGCAGCGGUGUCGAGGCAGGACUGCAUCGUCAACCGGAGAUGACUCUAGAGUCGCUGAUCCAGUACGCCUUUGGGGACCUGGUCGAAAUCCUCUAGGACCUGCAAGCGUCUGUUACUCUGCGUCGCGGACCAAAACACUUUACGCGGAUAGUUUACAACGGUCUUCAUAGCCAUCUGAUGAUGAGCACGUACUUGACGGCACAACAGCGCUGCAAUCCGUGAACGCGUUGGACUGCGCUGUGGAUAUUGUUGCACGAGCGGCGAUGCCGCAACUGCGCGUGCGUGCGCUCGGGUAGUGGUGCUCGCUGGGUUGCGUGCAAAUCUUAUUUGCGCAUUUUUAUAUCGCUCUCCUUGCUUCUGCUGUUGCACGUGGGAGGACUGCAAAAGUCUUCUGGUGAGGCAGCGACACGGGGUAAAGGCAGCCUCGUUGGCGCGCUCCCGCGCUCACCCCCUGUGGCUGCUUCUCCGACGCGCCUCACGCGUCUUGACGGUGUCGACGCAGUGAUGCGGAAGCGCUUGCGCAACGGAGCACGAAAGUGUCGCGGCCCUCUGGUCGUGUGCGCCUGAAGGUUUCGUGUGGGCAUCUUUUUAUUUUAGCUGUGACACAGGCGCUGUCAGGAGCGUCGUGUCGUCGACGCUUCUCGCUCUCGCUCCCGAUUAUCCUACUCUCUCUGUUCCUGUGUUUUCCGCGCUCCCAUGAUCCCUGCGGCGGCGCAGAAGCAACUCAGCAAAGGGCAGAGAGUGUGUGUGCGCGCGUGUCGGUGUUGCACCUUCGCGCACGCACCGCCGUAUCGUCGUUCUUUUCUUUGCUGUGCUUUUUCUGUCUUAGCAUGCUCGUUCUGCGCGCUUUCGUUUUCACCUCUCCGACGCCCCGAUGACGAGGUGGACACUCCUCUCGCUGCGGGCUAUCUCAGGGCCCAGCACCGCCACACUAUGGGGAGGGGGGAGCCAAGCAGCCCCUCCGCCCUCUCCGCGCCAAAUGCCGAACCCUCUCUGGGGGCGCCACGGCCAGGUGCCUACGGCGCAUGGAGCGGCCAGAGCGAUUUAGUGCCACCGUGAGGUUGGCAUUCAGGUCCUGGACGGUGUGGCCUCGGGGCGACCGGCGCCAGUGAACAAGUCUACGCCUUUCAUAUGAUUCGGCAGGGUGUUGGCGCGGUUUGAGCGUGCUUUACCCGACCCUCACGCUGCACAUAGGGAUGAAGGGCGCCUGGGCUACCCUGAUGGGGAUGCGCCAGGGGAUGGCAGCCUGCAUGAUGGGGAGCGGCUGUGAGGCCACCUGCCGAGCGGGGUUGGGUAGGCAGAGGUCGAGGCAGAGGAGCCGUGCUCGCAAGGCUGAGUCGGUGCAUCGCUGGCGCGCGCGCGUCUAGCGUUGCCUGGCCCCAUCGCAAUGGGGGGGGCGUGUGACACAGGACCAUUUGUAGGGGGAGGGAGCUGGGGGGCUGAGCGGAGUGUGACCUCGUGCUGCACGGCAGAGAAACGGAUGCGUGGUACACUGCACCGCCCCCUCCCUUCACUCUCCACACAACAAAAGGAAGAACAACGCGUUUUCAAAGAAAAACUUAAUAGCCCCCCAAAAGACGACACCAGCAGCUCUCCCUCUCAUGCACUGUCGUGUAUGCGGCUGGCCGGACCCUCACCUUCUUCUCCCUUCCUCCUGUUUUUUUCUUUGUUUUGCUUGUUCUCUUGCGUGACGGGCGGUGUGAAG
Molecule: unclassified non-coding RNA, 4017 nt
Filed under: Leishmania donovani
Lineage: Eukaryota; Euglenozoa; Kinetoplastea; Trypanosomatida; Trypanosomatidae
Description: gene:LdHU3.34.3460(CDS-product:hypothetical_prote in_conserved)
Source: RNAcentral